AACGAACGCUGGCGGCAGGCCUAACACAUGCAAGUCGAGCGCCCCGCAAGGGGAGCGGCGGACGGGUGAGUAACGCGUGGGAACGUACCCUUUGCUACGGAAUAGCCUCGGGAAACUGGGAGUAAUACCGUAUGUGCCCUUCGGGGGAAAGAUUUAUCGGCAAAGGAUCGGCCCGCGUUGGAUUAGGUAGUUGGUGGGGUAAUGGCCUACCAAGCCGACGAUCCAUAGCUGGUUUGAGAGGAUGAUCAGCCACACUGGGACUGAGACACGGCCCAGACUCCUACGGGAGGCAGCAGUGGGGAAUCUUAGACAAUGGGCGCAAGCCUGAUCUAGCCAUGCCGCGUGAGCGAUGAAGGCCUUAGGGUUGUAAAGCUCUUUCAGUGGGGAAGAUAAUGACGGUACCAUCAGAAGAAGCCCCGGCUAACUCCGUG
Molecule: ribosomal RNA, 431 nt
Filed under: uncultured bacterium
Lineage: Bacteria
Description: bacterial SSU rRNA
Rfam family: Bacterial small subunit ribosomal RNA
Source: RNAcentral